This 379-nucleotide ribosomal RNA is filed under the name uncultured bacterium. RNAcentral's name for it is "bacterial SSU rRNA". It matches the Rfam family "Bacterial small subunit ribosomal RNA", at positions 30 to 412 of the family's 1533-position model. The record is from RNAcentral.
AUUGAACGCUGGCGGCAUGCCUUACACAUGCAAGUCGAACGGUAACGGGCCUUCGGGUGCCGACGAGUGGCGAACGGGUGAGUAAUGCAUCGGAACGUACCUUUCAGUGGGGGAUAACGUAGCGAAAGUUACGCUAAUACCGCAUAUUCUGUGAGCAGGAAAGCAGGGGAUCGCAAGACCUUGCGCUGAUUGAGCGGCCGAUGUCAGAUUAGCUAGUUGGUGAGGUAAAGGCUCACCAAGGCGACGAUCUGUAGCGGGUCUGAGAGGAUGAUCCGCCACACUGGAACUGAGACACGGUCCAGACUCCUACGGAGGCAGCAGUGGGGAAUUUUGGACAAUGGGGGCAACCCUGAUCCAGCCAUGCCGCGUGAGUGAAGAA